This 314-nucleotide ribosomal RNA is filed under the name uncultured bacterium. RNAcentral describes it as "partial 16S ribosomal RNA". It matches the Rfam family "Bacterial small subunit ribosomal RNA", at positions 499 to 807 of the family's 1533-position model. The record is from RNAcentral.
UUAUAAGAGACAGCAGUCGCCGCGGUAAUACAGAGGGUGCGAGCGUUAAUCGGAUUUACUGGGCGUAAAGCGUGCGUAGGCGGCUUCUUAAGUCGGAUGUGAAAUCCCUGAGCUUAACUUAGGAAUUGCAUUCGAUACUGGGAAGCUAGAGUAUGGGAGAGGAUGGUAGAAUUCCAGGUGUAGCGGUGAAAUGCGUAGAGAUCUGGAGGAAUACCGAUGGCGAAGGCAGCCAUCUGGCCUAAUACUGACGCUGAGGUACGAAAGCAUGGGGAGCAAACAGGAUUAGAUACCCCUGUAGUCCCUGUCUCUUAUAC